UCUCUGCCUAAAUUUCUUAUCACCUGUGUUGCUUUCCUAUGAGCUUCAACCCACCCCGGCUAGAGCAGGUCUCUGGCACAGGAGGUUCAAAAGUGUUGAGGAGUUCCAUGACCCUUAUCUGUACUGGGAGUCUAGGAGAUGAGGUUUAGAGCAUAACUUUUAAUUGCCUUGGUCUCAGAAUGUACCAGGACAGACCUCAGAUUUAGAAUGUCUUCCUGGCUGAUUGUUUCGGGAGUCUGCUAUUUUCUCAGUCUUUGCAGUGAAUUUUUCUAAGACAGAGAUUCUGUUUUCUACAU
This is a long non-coding RNA of Tupaia belangeri chinensis (Chinese tree shrew), 296 nucleotides long. RefSeq lists it as uncharacterized. The record is from RefSeq and is a predicted model, not a curated record. The transcript is spliced from 2 exons. Lineage: Eukaryota; Metazoa; Chordata; Mammalia; Scandentia; Tupaiidae.